AUGGGGACAAUAACUCGUACUCUUCUCCCUGCAUUUGAGCUUCUACUGUUUUCUAUCGAGUCUAUUACCCAAUUCAGAGGCUGACACUCGUAUAUAAAGAGAGUCCCCACCUUCAGCAAAUGUUCUGAUAUCAAUUAGGCCACCAAACCAUAGCAGGCAACCACUCCCACUCCCUGAGAUGUUCAAAGUUGUGUAAGCAGUACAUGAACAAUUGGUUUUACACAUCUUAUCACACUCUACAAGGGUCAUCGUCUGGUUAUACCAUGAACCCUGAGUGUCGGGUA
This 284-nucleotide long non-coding RNA is filed under the name Helianthus annuus (common sunflower). RNAcentral's name for it is "hypothetical non coding rna". The record is from RNAcentral. Lineage: Eukaryota; Viridiplantae; Streptophyta; Magnoliopsida; Asterales; Asteraceae.